UGUGAAGCUUAUGGGACUUUG
This 21-nucleotide non-coding RNA is filed under the name Mus musculus (house mouse). RNAcentral also lists the same sequence under 1 other name. Lineage: Eukaryota; Metazoa; Chordata; Mammalia; Rodentia; Muridae. The record is from RNAcentral.